GACGUAGGGCGCGAGCGUUGUCCGGAUUUAUUGGGCGUGAAGAGCUCGUAGGCGGCUUGUCGCGUCGACUGUGAAAACCCGUGGCUCAACCAUGUGGUCUGCAGUCGAUACGGGCAGGCUAGAAUUCGGUAGGGGAGACUGGAAUUCCUGGUGUAGCGGUGAAAUGCGCAGAUAUCAGGAGGAACACCGGUGGCGAAGGCGGGUCUCUGGGCCGAUAUUGACGCUGAGGAGCGAAAGCGUGGGGAGCGAACAGG
RNAcentral lists this ribosomal RNA (254 nucleotides) under uncultured bacterium. Its description in RNAcentral is "partial 16S ribosomal RNA". It matches the Rfam family "Bacterial small subunit ribosomal RNA", at positions 524 to 776 of the family's 1533-position model. The record is from RNAcentral.